GAUGAACGCUGGCUGCGUGCCUAAUACAUGCAAGUCGAGCGAACGGACGAGAACCUUGCUUCUCUGAUGUUAGCGGCGGACGGGUGAGUAACACGUGGAUAACCUACCUAUAAGACUGGGAUAACUUCGGGAAACCGGAGCUAAUACCGGAUAAUAUUUUGAACCGCAUGGUUCAAAAGUGAAAGACGGUCUUGCUGUCACUUAUAGAUGGAUCCGCGCUGCAUUAGCUAGUUGGUAAGGUAACGGCUUACCAAGGCAACGAUGCAUAGCCGACCUGAGAGGGUGAUCGGCCACACUGGAACUGAGACACGGUCCAGACUCCUACGGGAGGCAGCAGUAGGGAAUCUUCCGCAAUGGGCGAAAGCCUGACGGAGCAACGCCGCGUGAGUGAUGAAGGUCUUCGGAUCGUAAAACUCUGUUAUUAGGGAAGAACAUAUGUGUAAGUAACUGUGCACAUCUUGACGGUACCUAAUCAGAAAGCCACGGCUAACUACGUGCCAGCAGCCGCGGUAAUACGUAGGUGGCAAGCGUUAUCCGGAAUUAUUGGGCGUAAAGCGCGCGUAGGCGGUUUUUUAAGUCUGAUGUGAAAGCCCACGGCUCAACCGUGGAGGGUCAUUGGAAACUGGAAAACUUGAGUGCAGAAGAGGAAAGUGGAAUUCCAUGUGUAGCGGUGAAAUGCGCAGAGAUAUGGAGGAACACCAGUGGCGAAGGCGACUUUCUGGUCUGUAACUGACGCUGAUGUGCGAAAGCGUGGGGAUCAAACAGGAUUAGAUACCCUGGUAGUCCACGCCGUAAACGAUGAGUGCUAAGUGUUAGGGGGUUUCCGCCCCUUAGUGCUGCAGCUAACGCAUUAAGCACUCCGCCUGGGGAGUACGACCGCAAGGUUGAAACUCAAAGGAAUUGACGGGGACCCGCACAAGCGGUGGAGCAUGUGGUUUAAUUCGAAGCAACGCGAAGAACCUUACCAAAUCUUGACAUCCUCUGACAACUCUAGAGAUAGAGCCUUCCCCUUCGGGGGACAAAGUGACAGGUGGUGCAUGGUUGUCGUCAGCUCGUGUCGUGAGAUGUUGGGUUAAGUCCCGCAACGAGCGCAACCCUUAAGCUUAGUUGCCAUCAUUAAGUUGGGCACUCUAAGUUGACUGCCGGUGACAAACCGGAGGAAGGUGGGGAUGACGUCAAAUCAUCAUGCCCCUUAUGAUUUGGGCUACACACGUGCUACAAUGGACAAUACAAAGGGCAGCGAAACCGCGAGGUCAAGCAAAUCCCAUAAAGUUGUUCUCAGUUCGGAUUGUAGUCUGCAACUCGACUACAUGAAGCUGGAAUCGCUAGUAAUCGUAGAUCAGCAUGCUACGGUGAAUACGUUCCCGGGUCU
This 1372-nucleotide ribosomal RNA is filed under the name uncultured bacterium. RNAcentral describes it as "bacterial SSU rRNA". It matches the Rfam family "Bacterial small subunit ribosomal RNA", at positions 28 to 1381 of the family's 1533-position model. The record is from RNAcentral.